This 79-nucleotide small RNA is filed under the name Novosphingobium sp. PhB165. Its description in RNAcentral is "suhB". Lineage: Bacteria; Pseudomonadati; Pseudomonadota; Alphaproteobacteria; Sphingomonadales; Sphingomonadaceae. The record is from RNAcentral.
GACCGGAGCCAAGCCGGUCAUUUACACCCAAAGCAAAAGGCCCCGGCGAUCGCUCGCCGGGGCCUUUUCAUUUAUCGCU